Molecule: ribosomal RNA, 165 nt
Filed under: uncultured bacterium
Lineage: Bacteria
Description: partial 16S rRNA
Rfam family: Bacterial small subunit ribosomal RNA
Source: RNAcentral
GUAGGGAAUCUUCCACAAUGGACGCAAGUCUGAUGGAGCAACGCCGCGUGAGUGAAGAAGGGUUUCGGCUCGUAAAGCUCUGUUGUUAAAGAAGAACGUGGGUAAGAGUAACUGUUUACCCAGUGACGGUAUUUAACCAGAAAGCCACGGCUAACUACGUGCCAC